This is a long non-coding RNA of Echinops telfairi (small Madagascar hedgehog), 365 nucleotides long. RefSeq lists it as uncharacterized. The record is from RefSeq and is a predicted model, not a curated record. The transcript is spliced from 2 exons. Lineage: Eukaryota; Metazoa; Chordata; Mammalia; Afrosoricida; Tenrecidae.
CAGCCACACGUGGGCAUUGGCUCACGGGUGACCGAGUCUGAAGAGGCACUGGUUCUGGAGAAGGAUGGCAAGUCUGAGCCUGCGACAGAGAGAGGGAACCGGGCAGCUGUUUCCCUUGCCGAGGAUACAGUGUCUCUAGAUGGUUGAUGAUUCUAAGGAAUGAGGAGCUCCCAGCAAGAUUGUUUCCCGUACAGUCACGCCUAUUUGGCUGAAAAAUGAGACACGGAAGUGAGUUCAGUGGAAAUGUUUCUCUCCACCCCACCCUACGCUUCCCACCACCAUCUCCGCAACCCCUACCCGAGACCCACACCCCCAAUGCCUCCACCUUAACUUGAAUUCCCAAUAAAUUUCGCUUAUGGCUCUUG